This 203-nucleotide long non-coding RNA is filed under the name Elaeis guineensis (African oil palm). RNAcentral describes it as "long non-coding RNA (EGUI_LNC018628)". The record is from RNAcentral. Lineage: Eukaryota; Viridiplantae; Streptophyta; Magnoliopsida; Arecales; Arecaceae.
GAUGGCCUUACCUCUUUUUAUUUUGGUCUUCUCAACUUUUUAAUGAGCUUGACCUUUUCGGAUUUCUAAUGAGGUCGACUUACUCGGCCUUCUAAUGAGAUCAUACUUUCUUGACCUUCUGAUGAGGUCAACUUACUCGAUCUUUUGAUGAGGUUAACUUAUUCGAUUUCUUGAUGAGGUCGGACUUUCUUGACCUUCUGAUG